Non-coding RNA from Armillaria borealis, 93 nucleotides. The record is from the annotation of a GenBank genome assembly. NCBI's taxonomy places the organism in Eukaryota, Fungi, Basidiomycota, Agaricomycetes, Agaricales, Physalacriaceae.
UCGGAUAUGGUGGAACGGCUAACGUUACCGCCUUUCAAGGUGGGAUUGGCAUUUGUGGUGCGCUAGCUCGGGCUUCGAUUCCCCGUAUCCGAA